UCCCAACUGCCCCACCCAAAAAGCUUGGGUCAGCAAGUGAGGCACUAUUCCAUGUUCUUGAGCCAUCUGAGGACCCCAAUACGUUUCUCCAGAAACGGCCCAUCACCAGUCCAGUCAUCCUAGACUCUACUAACCUCCUCCUGGCUGUUGGCAAAAUCCCACUGAUGACCCUACCUUGGGAAAUGAUGCACGAGGCUCCACUCAUCCUGAUGGGGUGUUUUUACACCUUCCACCUCACCUACCCCAAAUGUGUUGCUACUCUCCUAUCCGUCAUCCAGACUGAGGUACUGAAGGACAGUAUUCACGAGCGUGACCUUACUCAUUCAUACAAAAAAGCAAUAGCUGAAUGGGCAGAAUUCACAAAAAAGUAGAGAACUUGAAUUCUGUGUCCAAUGUUUGUCAGUUCUAUGAGGAUGUAUAUAUGUUGAAGAGCUUUGUUCAUUUAAUAAAUGAUCCUGUUUGUUAUGGACUGACUUAAUAAAAACGUGUUUUUUGAAA
Gymnodraco acuticeps is the source of this 498-nucleotide long non-coding RNA. RefSeq lists it as uncharacterized. The transcript has 2 exons. NCBI's taxonomy places the organism in Eukaryota, Metazoa, Chordata, Actinopteri, Perciformes, Bathydraconidae. The record is from RefSeq and is a predicted model, not a curated record.